This 414-nucleotide ribosomal RNA is filed under the name Olea europaea subsp. europaea. RNAcentral describes it as "SSU_rRNA_archaea". It matches the Rfam family "Eukaryotic small subunit ribosomal RNA", at positions 1228 to 1648 of the family's 1831-position model. The record is from RNAcentral. Lineage: Eukaryota; Viridiplantae; Streptophyta; Magnoliopsida; Lamiales; Oleaceae.
AAGUGGGCACCAUGUGGGAUUUUCUCUCAAUAGGUUGAGAGCAUCUCUCUCUAACUCACUUUUAUUGAGCAUGACCAUUCUUAGUUGGUGAAGCGAUUUGUCUGGUUAAUUUCGUUAAUGAACGAGACUUCAGUCUGCUAACUAGCUAUGUCGAGGUACCCCUUUGUGGCCAGCUUCUUAGAGGGACUACGGUCUUUUAGGCAAUGGAAGUUUAAGGCAAUAAUAGGUUUGUGAUGCGCUUAGAUGUUCUGGGCCACAAGCACGCUACAUUAAUGUAUUCAACGAGUUUAUAGCCUCGCCCGAUAGGUCCGGGUAAUCUUUGAAAUUUCAUCGUGAUGGGGAUAGAUCAUUGUAAUUGUUGGUCUUCAAUGAGGAAUUCCUAGUAAGCAUAAGUCAUUAGCUCAUGUUGACUAC